This is a long non-coding RNA of Ornithodoros turicata, 546 nucleotides long. RefSeq lists it as uncharacterized. NCBI's taxonomy places the organism in Eukaryota, Metazoa, Arthropoda, Arachnida, Ixodida, Argasidae. The record is from RefSeq and is a predicted model, not a curated record. The transcript is spliced from 2 exons.
UGGGAAGCGAGGAAAAUAAAGUAGAGAAUGUUUUGGCACGUUCUGUGGCUCGCGGAGAAAGACGAAGAAGAAGAAGAAGAAGAAGUGGCUCGCUGAAUCGCUGACGUUCGGACGCUUGCUGAAGACUUGCUGGGUUUUGCUGGGAGAGCUGACUUACAUUGAUAAGUGUGAGGAAGAUAUCUUGGUGGCACACCCCUCCGAACUGAGCAAUCCAGCAACACUUUUUUCUCGAUUCCGAGCGACAAAUCCGACCAAGCAACGGCAAUCCACCCCAGCAUCGGCCCCAUCGCAAGACAUAAAGACCAAGGUGAAAACGUCUUGAAGAUGAAUCUGUUCCGGGAUUCCCCGUGGUAUUCGACAGACAAACAGAAGCGACCAAGUAUAAGUCACUUGAACGAAGUCAGGCUGUCGUGUUCCACACGUUAGAAAUAUGAAAGAUGUGUAAAAUGCUAUAUGUACGGUAAUUGGCAGUCGGUUCCUAUGAAUCGUACAGGAUUUUCUCCAACUGGCGCGGAACAAAGAGAACGCUAUUUCCUAAUGUUUUAA